This 253-nucleotide ribosomal RNA is filed under the name uncultured bacterium. Its description in RNAcentral is "partial 16S ribosomal RNA". It matches the Rfam family "Bacterial small subunit ribosomal RNA", at positions 524 to 776 of the family's 1533-position model. The record is from RNAcentral.
UACGUAGGGUGCGAGCGUUGUCCGGAUUUAUUGGGCGUAAAGAGCUCGUAGGCGGUUUGUCGCGUCGGCCGUGAAAUCUCCACGCUUAACGUGGAGCGUGCGGUCGAUACGGGCGGACUUGAGUUCGGUAGGGGAGACUGGAAUUCCUGGUGUAGCGGUGAAAUGCGCAGAUAUCAGGAGGAACACCGGUGGCGAAGGCGGGUGUCUGGGCCGAGACUGACGCUGAGGAGCGAAAGCGUGGGGAGCGAACAGG